AAAGGAACAAAGAAGGAACUCCGGA
RNAcentral lists this non-coding RNA (25 nucleotides) under Cricetulus griseus (Chinese hamster). The record is from RNAcentral. Lineage: Eukaryota; Metazoa; Chordata; Mammalia; Rodentia; Cricetidae.